RNAcentral lists this ribosomal RNA (253 nucleotides) under uncultured bacterium. RNAcentral describes it as "partial 16S ribosomal RNA". It matches the Rfam family "Bacterial small subunit ribosomal RNA", at positions 524 to 776 of the family's 1533-position model. The record is from RNAcentral.
UACGUAGGGGGCAAGCGUUGUCCGGAAUCACUGGGCGUAAAGGGUGAGUAGGCGGUUAUUUAAGUUGGGUGUGAAAUCCCCGGGCUUAACCUGGGAAUCGCACUCAAAACUGGGUAACUAGAGUGUCGGAGAGGAAAGCGGAAUUCCUGGUGUAGCGGUGAAAUGCGUAGAUAUCAGGAGGAACACCGGUGGCGAAGGCGGCUUUCUGGACGAUAACUGACGCUGAGGCACGAAAGCGUGGGGAGCAAACAGG